GAUGAACGCUGACAGAAUGCUUAACACAUGCAAGUCAACUUGAACUUCGGUUUGGGUGGCGGACGGGUGAGUAACGCGUAAAGAACUUGCCUCACAGAUAGGGACAACAUUUGGAAACGAAUGCUAAUACCUGAUAUUAUGAUUUUAGGGCAUCCUAGGAUUAUGAAAGCUAUAUGCGCUGUGAGAGAGCUUUGCGUCCCAUUAGCUAGUUGGAGAGGUAACGGCUCACCAAGGCGAUGAUGGGUAGCCGGCCUGAGAGGGUGAUCGGCCACAAGGGGACUGAGACACGGCCCUUACUCCUACGGGAGGCAACAGUGGGGAAUAUUGGACAAUGGACCAAGAGUCUGAUCCAGCAAUUCUGUGUGCACGAUGAAGUUUUUCGGAAUGUAAAGUGCUUUCAGUUGGGAAGAAAAAAAUGACGGUACCAACAGAAGAAGUGACGGCUAAAUACGUG
RNAcentral lists this ribosomal RNA (454 nucleotides) under uncultured bacterium. RNAcentral's name for it is "partial 16S ribosomal RNA". It matches the Rfam family "Bacterial small subunit ribosomal RNA", at positions 28 to 507 of the family's 1533-position model. The record is from RNAcentral.